RNAcentral lists this transfer RNA (65 nucleotides) under Omalium rivulare. RNAcentral describes it as "tRNA-Asp". The record is from RNAcentral. Lineage: Eukaryota; Metazoa; Arthropoda; Insecta; Coleoptera; Staphylinidae.
AAAAAUUUAGUUAAAUAAUAACGUUAGUUUGUCAAACUAAAAUUAUUACAAAGUAAUAAUUUUUA